UCUUGGUCAUUUAGAGGAAGUAAAAGUCGUAACAAGGUUUCCGUAGGUGAACCUGCGGAAGGAUCAUUAAAGAAAUUUAAUAACUUUGAAAAUGGAUUUUUUUGUUUUGGCAAGAGCAUGAGAGCUUUUACUGGGCAAGAAGACAAGAGAUGGAGAGUCCAGCCGGGCCUGCGCUUAAGUGCGCGGUCUUGCUAGGCUUGUAAGUUUCUUUCUUGCUAUUCCAAACGGUGAGAGAUUUCUGUGCUUUUGUUAUAGGACAAUUAAAACCGUUUCAAUACAACACACUGUGGAGUUUUCAUAUCUUUGCAACUUUUUCUUUGGGCAUUCGAGCAAUCGGGGCCCAGAGGUAACAAACACAAACAAUUUUAUCUAUUCAUUAAAUUUUUGUCAAAAACAAGAAUUUUCGUAACUGGAAAUUUUAAAAUAUUAAAAACUUUCAACAACGGAUCUCUUGGUUCUCGCAUCGAUGAAGAACGCAGCGAAAUGCGAUACGUAAUGUGAAUUGCAGAAUUCCGUGAAUCAUCGAAUCUUUGAACGCACAUUGCGCCCCUUGGUAUUCCAGGGGGCAUGCCUGUUUGAGCGUCAUUUCCUUCUCAAACAUUCUGUUUGGUAGUGAGUGAUACUCUUUGGAGUUAACUUGAAAUUGCUGGCCUUUUCAUUGGAUGUUUUUUUUCCAAAGAGAGGUUUCUCUGCGUGCUUGAGGUAUAAUGCAAGUACGGUCGUUUUAGGUUUUACCAACUGCGGCUAAUCUUUUUUUAUACUGAGCGUAUUGGAACGUUAUCGAUAAGAAGAGAGCGUCUAGGCGAACAAUGUUCUUAAAGUUUGACCUCAAAUCAGGUAGGAGUACCCGCUGAACUUAAGCAUAUCAAUAAGCGGAG
RNAcentral lists this ribosomal RNA (878 nucleotides) under uncultured fungus. Its description in RNAcentral is "eukaryotic LSU rRNA". The stretch from base 432 to 585 matches the Rfam family "5.8S ribosomal RNA". The record is from RNAcentral. Lineage: Eukaryota; Fungi.